GCUUGUCUCAAAGAUUAAGCCAUGCAUGUCUAAGUAUAAACUUCUUUAUACCGUGAAACUGCGUACAGCUCAUUAUAUCAGUAAUGAUUUAUUUGAUGGUAUGUUCCUACAUGGAUAUCUGUAGUAAUUCUUGAGCUAAUACAUGCGAAAAAUCUCGACUCACGGAGAGAUGCUUUUAUUAGAUCAAAACCAAACGGCUUCGGCCGUCUCAUUGGUGACUCUGAAUAACUUUGGGCUGAUCGUAUGGCCUUGUGCCGACGACGUUUCCUUCGAAGGUGUGCCCUAUCAACUGUCGACUGUGAUAUAGACGCUCACAGUGGUUUUGACGGGUAACGGGGAAUCAGGGUUCGAUUCCGGAGAGGGAGCCUUAAAAACGGCUACCACAUCCAAGGAAGGCAGCAGG
This 403-nucleotide ribosomal RNA is filed under the name Crustacea environmental sample. Its description in RNAcentral is "partial small subunit ribosomal RNA". It matches the Rfam family "Eukaryotic small subunit ribosomal RNA", at positions 30 to 432 of the family's 1831-position model. The record is from RNAcentral. Lineage: Eukaryota; Metazoa; Arthropoda.